GAAAUGCGAUAAUUAAUGUGAAUUGCAGAAUUCAGUGAAUCAUCGAGUCUUUGAACGCACAUUGCGCCCCCUGGUAUUCCGGGGGCAUGCCUGUCCGAGCGUCAUUGCUGCCCUCAAGCACGGCUUGUGUGUUGGGCUUCCGUCCCUGGCAACGGGGACGGGUCCAAAAGGCAGUGGCGGCACCAUGUCUGGUCCUCGAGCGUAUGGGGCUUUGUCACCCGCUCCCGUAGGUCCAGCUGGCAGCUAGCCUCGCAACCAAUCUUUUUAACCAGGUUGACCUCGGAUCAGGUAGGGAUACCCGCUGAACUUAAGC
Molecule: unclassified non-coding RNA, 313 nt
Filed under: plant metagenome
Description: partial contains 5.8S ribosomal RNA, internal transcribed spacer 2, and large subunit ribosomal RNA
Rfam family: 5.8S ribosomal RNA (bases 1-104)
Source: RNAcentral